This 1679-nucleotide ribosomal RNA is filed under the name Vibrio cholerae. RNAcentral's name for it is "partial 23S ribosomal RNA". It matches the Rfam family "Bacterial large subunit ribosomal RNA", at positions 1288 to 2925 of the family's 2925-position model. Lineage: Bacteria; Pseudomonadati; Pseudomonadota; Gammaproteobacteria; Vibrionales; Vibrionaceae. The record is from RNAcentral.
GUGCGAAUGCUGACAUGAGUAACGACAAAGGGGGUGAAAAACCUCCUCGCCGGAAGACCAAGGGUUCCUGUCCAACGUUAAUCGGGGCAGGGUGAGUCGACCCCUAAGGUGAGGCCGAAAGGCGUAAUCGAUGGGAAACGGGUUAAUAUUCCCGUACUUCUGACUAUUGCGAUGGGGGGACGGAGAAGGCUAGGUGGGCCAGGCGACGGUUGUCCUGGUUCAAGUGCGUAGGCUUGAGAGUUAGGUAAAUCCGGCUCUCUCUAAGGCUGAGACACGACGUCGAGCUACUACGGUAGUGAAGUCAUUGAUGCCAUGCUUCCAGGAAAAGCCUCUAAGCUUCAGAUAGUCAGGAAUCGUACCCCAAACCGACACAGGUGGUCGGGUAGAGAAUACCAAGGCGCUUGAGAGAACUCGGGUGAAGGAACUAGGCAAAAUGGUACCGUAACUUCGGGAGAAGGUACGCUCUUGAUGGUGAAGUCCCUCGCGGAUGGAGCUGACGAGAGUCGCAGAUACCAGGUGGCUGCAACUGUUUAUUAAAAACACAGCACUGUGCAAAAUCGCAAGAUGACGUAUACGGUGUGACGCCUGCCCGGUGCCGGAAGGUUAAUUGAUGGGGUUAGCGCAAGCGAAGCUCUUGAUCGAAGCCCCGGUAAACGGCGGCCGUAACUAUAACGGUCCUAAGGUAGCGAAAUUCCUUGUCGGGUAAGUUCCGACCUGCACGAAUGGCGUAAUGAUGGCCACGCUGUCUCCACCCGAGACUCAGUGAAAUUGAAAUCGCUGUGAAGAUGCAGUGUACCCGCGGCUAGACGGAAAGACCCCGUGAACCUUUACUACAGCUUGGCACUGAACAUUGAACCUACAUGUGUAGGAUAGGUGGGAGGCUAUGAAGACGUGACGCCAGUUGCGUUGGAGCCGUCCUUGAAAUACCACCCUUGUAUGUUUGAUGUUCUAACUUAGACCCAUUAUCUGGGUUGAGGACAGUGCCUGGUGGGUAGUUUGACUGGGGCGGUCUCCUCCCAAAGAGUAACGGAGGAGCACGAAGGUGGGCUAAUCACGGUUGGACAUCGUGAGGUUAGUGCAAUGGCAUAAGCCCGCUUAACUGCGAGAAUGACGGUUCGAGCAGGUGCGAAAGCAGGUCAUAGUGAUCCGGUGGUUCUGUAUGGAAGGGCCAUCGCUCAACGGAUAAAAGGUACUCCGGGGAUAACAGGCUGAUACCGCCCAAGAGUUCAUAUCGACGGCGGUGUUUGGCACCUCGAUGUCGGCUCAUCACAUCCUGGGGCUGAAGUCGGUCCCAAGGGUAUGGCUGUUCGCCAUUUAAAGUGGUACGCGAGCUGGGUUUAGAACGUCGUGAGACAGUUCGGUCCCUAUCUGCCGUGGGCGUUGGAAGAUUGAAGGGGGCUGCUCCUAGUACGAGAGGACCGGAGUGGACGAACCUCUGGUGUUCGGGUUGUGUCGCCAGACGCAUUGCCCGGUAGCUAAGUUCGGAAUUGAUAAGCGCUGAAAGCAUCUAAGCGCGAAGCGAGCCCUGAGAUGAGUCUUCCCUGACAGUUUAACUGUCCUAAAGGGUUGUUCGAGACUAGAACGUUGAUAGGCAGGGUGUGUAAGCGUUGUGAGGCGUUGAGCUAACCUGUACUAAUUGCCCGUGAGGCUUAACCAUACAACACCCAAGGGGUUUUGUA